UAAUACAUGCAAGUCGAACGAACUCUGGUAUUGAUUGGUGCUUGCAUCAUGAUUUACAUUUGAGUGAGUGGCGAACUGGUGAGUAACACGUGGGAAACCUGCCCAGAAGCGGGGGAUAACACCUGGAAACAGAUGCUAAUACCGCAUAACAACUUGGACCGCAUGGUCCGAGUUUGAAAGAUGGCUUCGGCUAUCACUUUUGGAUGGUCCCGCGGCGUAUUAGCUAGAUGGUGGGGUAACGGCUCACCAUGGCAAUGAUACGUAGCCGACCUGAGAGGGUAAUCGGCCACAUUGGGACUGAGACACGGCCCAAACUCCUACGGGAGGCAGCAGUAGGGAAUCUUCCACAAUGGACGAAAGUCUGAUGGAGCAACGCCGCGUGAGUGAAGAAGGGUUUCGGCUCGUAAAACUCUGUUGUUAAAGAAGAACAUAUCUGAGAGUAACUGUUCAGGUAUUGACGGUAUUUAACCAGAAAGCCACGGCUAACUACGUGCCAGCAGCCGCGGUAAUACGUAGGUGGCAAGCGUUGUCCGGAUUUAUUGGGCGUAAAGCGAGCGCAGGCGGUUUUUUAAGUCUGAUGUGAAAGCCUUCGGCUCAACCGAAGAAGUGCAUCGGAAACUGGGAAACUUGAGUGCAGAAGAGGACAGUGGAACUCCAUGUGUAGCGGUGAAAUGCGUAGAUAUAUGGAAGAACACCAGUGGCGAAGGCGGCUGUCUGGUCUGUAACUGACGCUGAGGCUCGAAAGUAUGGGUAGCAAACAGGAUUAGAUACCCUGGUAGUCCAUACCGUAAACGAUGAAUGCUAAGUGUUGGAGGGUUUCCGCCCUUCAGUGCUGCAGCUAACGCAUUAAGCAUUCCGCCUGGGGAGUACGGCCGCAAGGCUGAAACUCAAAGGAAUUGACGGGGGCCCGCACAAGCGGUGGAGCAUGUGGUUUAAUUCGAAGCUACGCGAAGAACCUUACCAGGUCUUGACAUACUAUGCAAAUCUAAGAGAUUAGACGUUCCCUUCGGGGACAUGGAUACAGGUGGUGCAUGGUUGUCGUCAGCUCGUGUCGUGAGAUGUUGGGUUAAGUCCCGCAACGAGCGCAACCCUUAUUAUCAGUUGCCAGCAUUAAGUUGGGCACUCUGGUGAGACUGCCGGUGACAAACCGGAGGAAGGUGGGGAUGACGUCAAAUCAUCAUGCCCCUUAUGACCUGGGCUACACACGUGCUACAAUGGAUGGUACAACGAGUUGCGAACUCGCGAGAGUAAGCUAAUCUCUUAAAGCCAUUCUCAGUUCGGAUUGUAGGCUGCAACUCGCCUACAUGAAGUCGGAAUCGCUAGUAAUCGCGGAUCAGCAUGCCGCGGUGAAUACGUUCCCGGGCCUUGUACACACCGCCCGUCACACCAUGAGAGUUUGUAACACCCAAAGUCGGUGGGGUAACCUUUUAGGAACCAGCCGCCUAAG
Molecule: ribosomal RNA, 1447 nt
Filed under: Lactiplantibacillus plantarum
Lineage: Bacteria; Bacillati; Bacillota; Bacilli; Lactobacillales; Lactobacillaceae
Description: bacterial SSU rRNA
Rfam family: Bacterial small subunit ribosomal RNA
Source: RNAcentral